Molecule: non-coding RNA, 1638 nt
Organism: Nicotiana tabacum (common tobacco)
Lineage: Eukaryota; Viridiplantae; Streptophyta; Magnoliopsida; Solanales; Solanaceae
Source: RefSeq, a predicted model, not a curated record
CCGAAAGCCAUUUUGCAAGCCCUAGAGUCUCCCCUCAUCUCUCUCUUCUCUCUUCUCCCUCUCUUAGCCGCCACCACUUCCGCCGAAGCGGCGUCACCAGCAAGCCACUACCAAACUCCAUCAAACUUACACCAUCUUUUUCCCCUCACUUCCUCCUUUUCAUAGCCUGACCCCAAAUCCUCAAAGUCCCUCUCAAAAUCGAUAAAUCUUACAAAAAUUGAAAUAUUAGCCUUCCCUCUUUCCUCAAAUUCAUAAGGAUUGAGUCAUCCUCUUCGCCCAACACAUACAUAGACGUAAAGAGAUCGAUAAGGGCUAUCAUUUGGCAUUGGUUUAAACCCGAUCUCUGAUGACUUGAAUUUCCGCGAAGCUGCCGACUAGCGGCCACCAUUGAUCGCUCUACAUAGCCGAUGCCACCCUAAGAACCACCCAAAACGUCACUGCCUCUCAUUUUUGCCUCUGGCCUAGUUUAGGUUUCUAUUGUUGGUAAUACCAAAACCAUUUUCCGAUUCACCAAAAUUUAUUCACCAAAAUUUAUGGUUUUGGUGUAUAUCAAUAAUAAAAGCAUGCCCGAGCUCGAACCACUACCUAUCAUCAUUGUUUUGCCAUUGCCCGGGCACUCGAGUUCAUGGAUUUUUAAUAAAAGCAGAAAUAUGUAUUUUAUGAGUUGAAGGUAAAAAGUUGUCUAAUCAAGUCCCAAACGUUUUACCAAAAGCUCUCUUCUCUCUCUUAACUUAAUGUUAUCCAAAGUCCCUACCCCUACACACUCACCUGCCCUACCAAAUCCAAACAAUGAGAAAUCCACAGCACACCUACACAAUCCUAUUAGCAUCACUCCACCACCUACAAACAUACCUAUAACGACUAAAAACUCCGAACAACACCACAACCGACAGAGAGGAAGCAGAUGUCGAUGAAUCAAUUGAAAACCUCACCAACAAAACAGUACCUAAAGCAGCUAACCCAACCACUGUUCCUCAACAACCUAAAAUUUCAUCAAAUUUUGAUAAACCAACAAGCCGGAAUGACAAACACACUGAAAACACCAUAGACACACAUCAGCAACCCCAUGCAAUCCAAAAAACCCAAUCAAACUCUACCGCAAUAGCCCAAAAUUCAACACAAAAAAACAUGCAGACUUCGAGAUUUCCUCCGGGGAAUAACAGAGCUCCUGAACCAUCAACCAGCAAGAGCAUUGAUCAGAUGGUAUCAAAACCAUCAUUUGCAGCGACAGCGCAGACAAAAUUACAAACUCUAACUAAUGGUGAAACUGCAGUAGAAAUUAGACAUGGAUCUCACCUAGGGAAGCCAACUGUUUUCUUUCUGUCGAAGAUUAUUUCAUAAAUCUAGCUCAGGAAUGCAAACUUACUAUUAUUGGUAAGUCCUUGAGAGGGAAGACUUCGAUGGAGGAGAUUAGGAAAAUCUUUGUGAGGAAGUUUCAUAUGACUAGUAUUAUUAAAAUUGCAUAUUUUGACCCCCGACAUGUUUACAUUCAUAUCUCUAAUAAAGUAGAUUACAACCACAUCCGAUUCAAAGAAUACAUAGAUAUUAGGGAUGCACCAAUGAAAAUCCUGAAGUGGAGUGAAUUUUAAACCAGAAGAGGAAACAACCAUUGUACCGGUUUGGAUUUUAGUUCAUCAA